ACUCAAAUGAAUUGACGGGGGCCCGCACAAGCGGUGGAGCAUGUGGUUUAAUUCGAUGCAACGCGAAGAACCUUACCUACUUUUGACAUCCUGUGAACCUGACGUAAUGGUUGGGGUGCCGCAAGGAGCACAGAGACAGGUGCUGCAUGGCUGUCGUCAGCUCGUGUUGUGAGAUGUUGGGUUAAGUCCCGUAACGAGCGCAACCCUUGUCCUUAGUUACCAUCAAGUAAAGUUGGGGACUCUAAGGAGACUGCUGGUGAAGAACCGGAGGAAGGCGGGGACGACGUCAAGUCAUCAUGGCCUUUAUAAGUAGGGCUACACACGUGCUACAAUGGUUCGUACAAAGGGUAGCCAACCCGCGAGGGGGAGCCAAUCUCAAAAAGCGAAUCGUAGUCCGGAUUGAAGUCUGCAAUUCGACUUCAUGAAGUCGGAAUCGCUAGUAAUCGCGAAUCAGCCAUGUCGCGGUGAAUACGUUCCCGGGCCUUGCACACACCGCCCGU
This 500-nucleotide ribosomal RNA is filed under the name uncultured bacterium. Its description in RNAcentral is "partial 16S ribosomal RNA". It matches the Rfam family "Bacterial small subunit ribosomal RNA", at positions 899 to 1397 of the family's 1533-position model. The record is from RNAcentral.